Molecule: ribosomal RNA, 305 nt
Filed under: uncultured bacterium
Lineage: Bacteria
Description: bacterial SSU rRNA
Rfam family: Bacterial small subunit ribosomal RNA
Source: RNAcentral
UUGACCUACGGGACGCAGCAGUGGGGAAUAUUGCGCAAUGGACGAAAGUCUGACGCAGCGACGCCGCGUGAGGGAUGAAGGUUUUCGGAUCGUAAACCUCUGUCAGGAGGGAAGAAAGCGUAUGGCGCCAAUCAGCCAUGCGUUGACGGUACCUCCAAAGGAAGCGCCGGCUAACUCCGUGCCAGCAGCCGCGGUAAUACGGAGGGUGCGAGCGUUAAUCGGAAUUACUGGGCGUAAAGCGCUCGUCGGCGGUAUGUCAAGUCAAGGGUGCAAUCCCCGCGCUCAACGUGGGAACUGCCUUUGAA